CAAAUUUUUAGAUCAUCUAAUAUUACUCGUGGAUAUUAUAUUUUAAUUCAUAUGUUUCAUUCGUAUGAGUAGUUGCUGUUUCAUAUAAGUUUGAAUGAUUGGUUUAUAUUUUUCAUCGGUAACUGAUCACUAAAUAACAUGUUAUAGUAAACCGUUUGUAAAGCGUUAUUAUAAUAUAUAAAUAUAGUAAAUAACAUUUUUAUACUUCGAAUGACGCCAUUGCGAAAUAUUCUCCCCCUACCAUUUUACUAUAAUUUCCACAUGGAGCAACCUGUACUAACUAUAUACCUUGCAUUUAAACGAUUUGGUAUUAUUACUGACCACUAUAGAGUGUAGGUUGUUAUGGGGAUAAUUAUUAUUACUUUUUAAAGUUUUACCUAUGAUUGUUCAAC
Non-coding RNA from Cinara cedri, 392 nucleotides. NCBI's taxonomy places the organism in Eukaryota, Metazoa, Arthropoda, Insecta, Hemiptera, Aphididae. The record is from the annotation of a GenBank genome assembly.